This 254-nucleotide ribosomal RNA is filed under the name uncultured bacterium. Its description in RNAcentral is "partial 16S ribosomal RNA". It matches the Rfam family "Bacterial small subunit ribosomal RNA", at positions 524 to 776 of the family's 1533-position model. The record is from RNAcentral.
UACGUAGGGCGCGAGCGUUGUCCGGAAUUAUUGGGCGUAAAGAGCUCGUAGGUGGUUUGUUGCGUCUGCCGUGAAAACCCGAGGCUUAACCUCGUGGCUUGCGGUGGAUACGGGCAGACUUGAGGUAGGUAGGGGAGAAUGGAAUUCCCGGUGUAGCGGUGAAAUGCGCGGAUAUCGGGAGGAACACCGGUGGCGAAGGCGGUUCUCUGGGCCUUACCUGACGCUGAGGAGCGAAAGCGUGGGGAGCGAACAGG